GCUGAGUGUGGGGCACACACCUGUAAUCCCAGCAACUUGGGAGGCUGAGGCAGGAGGAUCACAAGUUCAAAGCCAGCUUUAGUAAUUUAGUGAAGCUCUAAGCAACUUAGUGAGACUCUGUCUCAA
This 126-nucleotide small RNA is filed under the name Marmota monax (woodchuck). Lineage: Eukaryota; Metazoa; Chordata; Mammalia; Rodentia; Sciuridae. The record is from RNAcentral.